AGUGAACGCUGGCGGUAGGCCUAACACAUGCAAGUCGAACGGCAGCACAGUAAGAGCUUGCUCUUACGGGUGGCGAGUGGCGGACGGGUGAGGAAUACAUCGGGAUCUACUUUUUCGUGGGGGAUAACGUAGGGAAACUUACGCUAAUACCGCAUACGACCUACGGGGGAAAGCAGGGGAUCUUCGGACCUUGCGCGAAUGAAUGAGCCGAUGUCGGAUUAGCUAGUUGGCGGGGUAAAGGCCCACCAAGGCGACGAUCCGUAGCUGGUCUGAGAGGAUGAUCGGCCACACUGGAACUUAGACACGGUCCAGACUCCUACGGGAGGCAGCAGUGGGGAAUAUUGGACAAUGGGCGCAAGCCUGGUCCAGCCAUACCGCGUGGGUGAAGAAGGCCUUCGGGUUGUAAAGCCCUUUUGUUGGGAAAGAAAAGCAGCAGGUUAAUACCCCGCUGUUCUGACGGUACCCAAAGAAUAAGCACCGGCUAACUUCGUG
This 492-nucleotide ribosomal RNA is filed under the name uncultured bacterium. RNAcentral's name for it is "partial 16S ribosomal RNA". It matches the Rfam family "Bacterial small subunit ribosomal RNA", at positions 29 to 507 of the family's 1533-position model. The record is from RNAcentral.